CAAAACACUGCUGUUUUUCUAAAGGAACACAGCAACAAAAUUGACUCCUAACAGCAUCCCUUAUAUCCAUAGGUAAGUAUCUUGCUCAUCCAUCAUGAGAGAAGCUUUCUAAUGCAGCAGAUAGGCACAAAUACUGAGACCCAGCACGGGACAAUAUGGGAGAAACCUUGGAACACUCUGCCUCAAACUGUAUGUCUCCAUCUAAUCCCUACCCCAAGGCCCCCAGGUCUCAGUGAAUUGGUGAAAGAGGAGGUGAGAAGAUUGUAAGAACCAGAGCAUGGAAGCCACCGAGGAACCAAGGCGUUCAAGACCCACAGAGACUGAGGCAGCAUGCACGGGGCCUGCAUGGAUCUGCACUGGACGGGAUGUCUGUUUUCUAAGAAGACACAGAAAGGCUGUUGACCCAGAAAGGAGGGGCAGUAGCAAGGAUCUGGGAGGACUAAGAGGAAAGGAGAAUUUAAUCAGAAUAUACUGCAUAUAAAAACUAUUUUAAAUUAAAAAAAAUCAAGCAUUUGUACAACUUGAUCUCCUCCAGCAAGUUGUUCAUUGGCUUGCAGCGAGUUUCUGGCUGACACUAAAAGUGUAGAAACCGAAGCUCAGCGAUUCACCUCGUUACUGACCUGGAAGUGUGUCCUGACCUGAACGACAAACGCCACACAAUCACCCAACCCUGAAAACUGGGCCGCAUACUUGGAGGCGUUGAGGCUCUAAGAUCUUCCACUGGAGAAGACAACUAGGAAGUCAGAAGUAUCGCUCCUGAAUAACCUAGACAAGUCACAGUUGUGUUUGCCAUGUUUCCUUCAGUCUCCAUGGAACUUCGUUGUCCAGCAAUUACAAUGCUGUGGUGGUCUGAGUAGGAAUGGCUCCCAUAGACUCGUGUAUUUGAAUGCUUGGUCCAUAGGAAAUGGGACUAUUAGGAGGUAUCCUCUUGUUGGAGUAGGUGUGGCCUUGUUAGAGAAAGUGUGUCACUGUGAGGGUGUGCUUUGAACUCUCAGACACUUAAGGCCAGGCUCGGUGGCGCGCAGUUCUGUUCCUGCUACCUGUGGGUCAAGUUAUAAAAUAUUCCACUCCUUCUUCAGCACCAGGUCUGCCUGCAUGCUGCCAUGCUUCCUGCCAGGAUGCUAAUGGACUCAACAUCUGAAACUGUAAGCCAACACCAACUAAACGUUUUGCCUUCUUAACAGUUCCCAUGGUCGUGGAGGUCUCUCCACAGCAAUAGAAACCCUAAGACAGAUGCAGAAUCCACAAUCGCCCAUUUUAAAUAGUGCCCCAUUAUUCUAGGUUUGGAAUUCUUCCCAGGAAAGACAAGCAAAGCAGCACAUUCUCAGUUUGUCCUGCAGGUGGCGCCCUUGCCCUGAGCUAAAUCUUUCAGCCACUCCUCCAGAGGUAGGAUCAGCUGGCGGAACACUUUAUACAAUCUGCUUUUUCAAGAUCACAACUCUCCCAUGUGUGUUUGGAGAUCCUUAGUUCCAUGAUCUUUUGGGCUACUCGCUUUCUUUUACAUUUUAUUUGCAUGAUGUUUCCUAUUUUUUAAAAUAUAUUCACAAAUACCCAGUAAAAUCUCUCUCAUCAC
This is a long non-coding RNA of Mus musculus (house mouse), 1573 nucleotides long. RefSeq annotates it as predicted gene, 46983. NCBI's taxonomy places the organism in Eukaryota, Metazoa, Chordata, Mammalia, Rodentia, Muridae. The record is from RefSeq and is a predicted model, not a curated record. The transcript has 2 exons.